RNAcentral lists this ribosomal RNA (207 nucleotides) under uncultured bacterium. Its description in RNAcentral is "partial 16S ribosomal RNA". It matches the Rfam family "Bacterial small subunit ribosomal RNA", at positions 568 to 774 of the family's 1533-position model. The record is from RNAcentral.
UGCGUAGGUGGUCUUGUAAGUCAGAAGUGAAAGGCUACGGCUUAACCGUAGUAAGCUUUUGAAACUGCAGGACUUGAGUGCAGGAGAGGAAAGUGGAAUUCCUAGUGUAGCGGUGAAAUGCGUAGAUAUUAGGAGGAACACCAGUGGCGAAGGCGACUUUCUGGACUGUUACUGACACUGAGGCACGAAAGCGGUGGGGAGCGAACA